RNAcentral lists this unclassified non-coding RNA (1182 nucleotides) under Haliotis rufescens (red abalone). Its description in RNAcentral is "aDP-ribosylarginine hydrolase Tri1-like, transcript variant X2". Lineage: Eukaryota; Metazoa; Mollusca; Gastropoda; Lepetellida; Haliotidae. The record is from RNAcentral.
UUUAAAAUGGCGACGACAGGGAGAGGUAUUAUCCUGAGCGGGAAAUUGAAAAAGAAAACUGAUCGCAGUCGACGUGAUGUUAAUUCACCAAGGUGUCAGCCAUACAAGGUUAUACGUCGAGAUGCAUGUCGAGUAUAUGAUCGGAUUUACGCAGCUAUAUAUGGUCAAUGCGUUGGAGAUGCCCUGGGAUUAUUGACAGAAACUCAAUCUAAAGAAGAGGCUAAAAAGCUAUAUGGGCCUGUGUGCAACAAGUUCCAGCUAGUCCACAAGAAAAUGUUGGCAGAUGCACAUCGUCGCAAGUGGGAUGUGUAUGACUGGACAGACGAGACAGAUCACAUGAUCCUCCUCAUUCAGUCCCUGGUGGAGAACAAGGGGCAGGUGGUGCCCGAGGACAUAGCCAAGCGGUUGAUGGAAUGGUUGGAGCGUGGCUUCCCGGAGCUGGGAGAUGUGUGUGGCCCUGGGUUGUGUAGCUUCACCAAGAAUGUUGUCAACCAUCCACAGUUCUCAGAGGCACCUGACAAGGCAGCUGAGAUUGUGUGGCGAGACUGUCGCAGUCUGAGAGCCACCAACUGUGCCCUGGCCCGCGCCCCCAUGUCUGGAAUACAUUACUACCAUGUGCUGGGCAAGGUGAUCAAGAACUCCCUGGAUAUAUGCUCCAUCACGCAUGUGGAUCCCAGCUGUCAAGCCUCAUGUGUUGCUGUGGCAACUGUCAUGUCGGCUCUGCUACAGAAAGAUGAGAAACACUUGAAGAAGACUGGAGACUAUGAUAUAGAUUCUAUAAUUGAGGAGGCCUUCUCCUAUGGCUGUCGGUGUAUGCUGGGGCAGCCUUAUUCUGACAUUAAGGAGUUCAAGAAGAUCCUGUACACAACAUCGCUAAAAGAUCUGAAGCUGGAUGAGAGAGGCAAGAUCAAUCACACUUACAAGACCCUUGGAGCUGGGUUCUGGGCUCUUAAACAGAAGGACUUCCGUACUGCUAUACGAGACAUUGUCAUGGAGGUGAGGCCAUAGCUAGACUGUUAGCAGGAUGAGGAAGUGGACUUGCCGUAUUCUGUCUGACUGGGUGGAGAUGCUGAUGCUAAUGCAUCUCUGGCGGGGGCCUUCCUGGGAUGUAAGCUGGGACUCGACGCGAUCCCCACCACCUGGAUCCAGGACCUCAAGCACCGGCGCUGGCUGGACAAAGUG